This 227-nucleotide long non-coding RNA is filed under the name Schistocerca americana (American grasshopper). Its description in RNAcentral is "uncharacterized LOC124625316". Lineage: Eukaryota; Metazoa; Arthropoda; Insecta; Orthoptera; Acrididae. The record is from RNAcentral.
ACGCCGGUGGCCGCCGCAGCCAGACGGCAACCUCUGCUGCGGGACACAGGCCGGACGCGCCUCUCCUCUCCACGCCUCACCACAGCACACACCCACGCCGGACGCCUGUGCUGACGCGCCCUGUCCUGACAUAGAUCGCCAAUCCGUCUGCAAAAAGGUGCGGCGACCGACAGACCGCCAGUCCCCUGGGCCCCAUGGACCGCUGCCGGCUGCCUCCGCUGCGGUGA